GGGGAAUAUUGCACAAUGGGCGCAAGCCUGAUGCAGCCAUGCCGCGUGUGUGAAGAAGGCCUUCGGGUUGUAAAGCACUUUCAGUCAGGAGGAAAGGGUGUGUUUUAAUAGAGCAUAUCUGUGACGUUACUGACAGAAGAAG
This 142-nucleotide ribosomal RNA is filed under the name uncultured Pseudoalteromonas sp. RNAcentral describes it as "partial 16S ribosomal RNA". It matches the Rfam family "Bacterial small subunit ribosomal RNA", at positions 356 to 490 of the family's 1533-position model. The record is from RNAcentral. Lineage: Bacteria; Pseudomonadati; Pseudomonadota; Gammaproteobacteria; Alteromonadales; Pseudoalteromonadaceae.